GCCCGGGUGGCGAAAUCGGUAGACGCAAGGGACUUAAAAUCCCUUUUCCGCAAGGAAGUGCGGGUUCGAGUCCCGCCCCGGGCACCA
RNAcentral lists this transfer RNA (87 nucleotides) under Verrucomicrobiota bacterium. RNAcentral describes it as "Verrucomicrobia bacterium (marine metagenome) tRNA-Leu". It matches the Rfam family "tRNA". Rfam says of the family: Transfer RNA (tRNA) molecules are approximately 80 nucleotides in length. Lineage: Bacteria; Pseudomonadati; Verrucomicrobiota. The record is from RNAcentral.